This is a long non-coding RNA of Empidonax traillii (willow flycatcher), 6603 nucleotides long. RefSeq lists it as uncharacterized. The transcript has 3 exons. NCBI's taxonomy places the organism in Eukaryota, Metazoa, Chordata, Aves, Passeriformes, Tyrannidae. The record is from RefSeq and is a predicted model, not a curated record.
AAAAAAAAAAGAAAAAAAAGCUAUAUUCAUAUCUUGAAGUUACAGGGCCUUGAGGAAAACGUGUUAACAUGGUAAAAGGCCAAGCUUAACCACUCAGUGCUCCAGGAAGAGAAUGCUGUUAUUCUCCAGGAAGAGAAUUGGGAAAAACCAGGCUGUCCCACUCUCAAAACGUUCUCUUUAUUCUCUACAUGAAUGGGUUUGUAUCUGCUGAUAACCCACUUCUUUCCAAGGGUUUCAGGUUUAGGAUUCCUUUUGAUGCUAGACUCACUGCUUGAAAUAGUAAACCACUCCAACUUUGAUGGAGCUACAAUUAUUCCCUAUAGUCAGCUAUUCCGUUGUUUCCUCUAAAACUUUUAUUUAUGUCACUGUUUCACUUUGAGUAGUUUUCCCCCUUCAUCCUUUCUGAUUUAAAUCAUACCAGUAAAAAAUUUACAAAUCAGAUAGCCCAAGAGGCAUGCAAUAUUUUCAUAUAAAAUAUAGAUAAAUUUGUGCUUUUCUGUAACAUGUGUGACUAAAACGAUAUCAGUGAUCACAACCACCAUCUUUUUUUCUUUCGUCAACCCUCUUGGAAGCAGCUCUGCUUCCUAUCUGUGCUGUCACUGUCGGGGUAGCCGUGGUGGCAGCCUCUGAGUCCUGGGAUCACAGAAACCACCUGGCCCAAGGCUAGAGGUGUCUCGGUCUGAACAUGUGUUGGUGCCAACAUUUCUGAAAGUUUCAGCCUGUCUGGAGCACUGGAGUGUUACAUCAGGCAGCUCCGCCUAGCAAUGGUAACCUAAGCUACCAGCAGCAGGGAGGCGUUUGUGCUGUGCUUUGCUUCGAGCAGCGUUCAGAGCCUGUGACACUGUCUGACACUGACUGAUUAAGGUACAGGUACUGUGGUGCUGUCAGGAAAGAAGAAAGAGGACUUGCAGUGCUAUUGUUGCUCAUGGAUCUCCAGCAGAGCAGCAGCCAGACACCAGUGCACAGCAGCAUCGUGCUCUACCACCUUUUCUGAGAAUUACUGCCUAGUCAACCCUAAAGCGAUUAGGAACACACCAUGUUUUUAACACAGCCUGUUCCUCCACACAGACUGCAAAGACUGUAUGUCAUAGGUGAUCAAACCCUUAAGACUGGGGAGGGAAUUGUGACAGGAGGAGAAGAGAGAGAUGUGACAAGGACAAAAAUAUGAACUCUGAGUCUUAUCAGGAAACCAUUAGGAAGGCUGCUGGUGCAGUAAACAAGACCAGGUCUUAACAGGGAGAAAAACAGAACUACCUAGUUAUGCUGCAGGUAUAAACUAAUCUUCCUUUUCCCCAUUGCUUUUACUUGCCAUCAUUAAAAACCACAAAUUCAAAUUUCUUCCUGAACUCAAUUUUGUGGAUAUCCCCAAAGCUCAUGCUACACUACUACUGGGAAUGGUGAGAAGGAUUACUUUGCCAGACAGCAUAGGACAUGGGACAAAAAUUUUAGUUUUAUUUUGUUUAAUUCGUAGGGCUUUCCCGAGUACAAAGACAUAGGGGUUCCCUAUGUACCUUUUCAUCUCAUCUUUGUAAGUGAUGAAAUAAUCAUUUCCCUUCUCUCUGAGGGUGAUGCUGAAGCCCUCAGAAAGAGUAACAUAUGUGGUAUCCAGGCUUGGGGACACUCUUUAGCUCAGGCUUACACUUGGCCUUCUGGAGUCACCUCUCCUCCUUACAGCCUACACAGGCACGAAGGCAAGCAGGAAAAUAGAAAAUCUCAUCUAUCUUGAGAAAUCUGAGAUCUCUGCAGACCUGAGAUGCUCUUAGUUCUUUGUGUGCCAAACCUGAUAUGUUUCUGUUGCCUGUGUGGUGCCAGGAUUGUCCUUGUCCUCUACAAAGCAGAGGCCAGGGAAAACUGGAAAGAUUCUUAUCUUCCUUUCACUAGGGAGGAGGUAAUUUGGCUUCCAGGAGCCUUCUUUUAUCACAGCUGGGCAGUUUUAAUCUCAGUUUUCUUAAUAUUUAGUGGGCAAUUGAUAUGUUCCCUUUUGCUCUAUCUAACAGAGCUGAUUAUUGCUAGGGUCAGGUGGUUACAUGAGCUAAUUAAUAUUCACAGGUAGCAGUAGGAAAUAAGUACAAACCUCAUCUCCUCAGCUUUAAUUACAAUAUCAGUGCUAUCAAAUUCCAUGUGGAUACACCUCCCACAUCAGCUCCAGACAAUUUCAGAUGUGUGUACUAACAGGAUCCAACAACAUCUUUAACUCAUGAUCUUCUGUCAUUACAAUAUAAUUACUCUAAUGCAUCUUUACUGUGCAACGCCAGCCAAAACUAACAACCAUUGGGCAUACAGUGUGAUGGCAGAAUAGAGAUGUUAAUGUAAGCUUUCAGCUUACAGGGACUUGCAGCAUUUCUGCCAGUCCCAUUAUUCAACAUUUGUGGGCAACCUGACUCCUACCUGCUUCCCUUCCUUCUCUAUAUUUACUUUAUGAAACAGUUAUGUUAUUCUAGCACCAAGAAGCCCCAGGUGGCACUGAAAUCCCUGGGGGAAUCUGACGUAAGAGUCAAUAAAAUGGCAGUAAAUUGUCUCACCUUGGAUAGCUCUGUGGAUUAGACGAGGAAGAGAGGAAGGUCAGUCAUGGAAGAACAACUGUAUUUUACACCUUACUGAGCUACGGGUGAGGAUCUGGCCUUGUGAAGAUGUGGAAAAGAGGUUAGGAGCAAUUUGACAGAAAAUACACUACUGGCUAAUUAAGUUAGCAAAUAUCCCUCGAUUAAGUGCUGGUAGAGGUCAGGUACAAAAGUCAGUUAGAGAGAGCAGGGUAAGCUUCAAAGGGUCUUUGUGGCAAAGAGGUAAAGAAUGAGCCAGUGGAAUAACCUGUCAAAUGACAAGCCAUGAAGAUAAUAUUAACCUUUCAUUUCUACCAUUGUAGAAAGAGAAGAAAAAAGUCCACAAUUUGAAAAGAGAAAAUGGGAUGAAUUUUUGAAACUACAUAAGGAUGUUUAAAUGAGAACUAACUGCAGACAUGUCUCACUGCACUAUCAGUGCAUUCCUCUGCCUUUGCAGAGAUUUACAAAACUCUCUCAGUAUUUCAAUUUCAUCAGUCUUUUUACUAUUCUUAAACGGUCAUCAUUUUAAACUGCGUAAGAGCGCCUGUAUUUCAUUCAUGUGGCUUUCUAUGUGAUAACAGUCUCUAUAAUUAAAACAUACAUUAUCAAGACUUGAAAAAGAGAGUUAAACUGGAAUGGCAUUACAUUGACACCUAUCCAAAUUGUAAUUGGUGUUUAAUUGUAGCUCUGCAAGCAAACACAAAAAGACAAACAACAAAGAAACCCCUGGUUUGAUUGAAAGCAAUUAAGAGAGAAAAACCCAAGAGAGAUAAUAUAUGAAAUUUCAAGGAAGAAACAUUCCUUCCCUGAAAUGCAAAGGCCCUUCUUGAGUCUGGGAGAAGUAAAGCAUGAGAAUAGUGCAGCUGUUUCUGGGAACUUGUCUUUUGCAUGGAAAUGCAAAUUAAGGGCUGCCAAGCUGAUUUUUAUCUCUGUGUAACACCCAUCAUAUUUAUACUGUAUAUGUUUGCUGAUGUUCUCUAUUAACUCUAUUGUUUGCAUAUUAACUGUUUUGUGUCCCAGAUGCUCAUACAAGGAUCAUAAAUAUUUUGUGAAAGAUAUAACCAUCACUUUCAACACUACAAACUGUUGUUCCCCCAAACAGCUUUCCCUCUGUUCUUGGAGAAAGCUCAAAGAAUCCCUGAAGAACUACUUUAGAAUGAGUGUUUUUCAGCAUCAGCUCACAGGGACAGGGAGGAAGCAGUUCCUGGGACAAAGAACUUCCACAACAGUCACUUUGCAUCUAAACCCAGUGCCUAAAAUCAAGAGGAUGCAGAAACAUCAGUUCUGUGCAGUACUAUCCAGACUUGCAAUGCUGACACAACACAUGGGGAGAAAAAGAAAGAAAGAUAGAACAGUGAAAAUUGUGUGAAGGCUCUAAGGAUAAGGGAUGCUUUUAAGGUGAAGAUUGAUUCCAGUGGUUUUCCAAACAGACCAGAAAUCAGGGUAGUCGAGAUUGACAACAUUUCAUUGGUAUGAGCAAGAGAAGAGUCAGAUUAUUCUUUGCCAAUCUACAUGACUAUGGAGCACCAUUCCCAUAUUCCUACUCUCUUACCACUUCACUAUUGAUAUUGUGACAGGAUUUGUAAUACCAUGAGGCUGUGUUGCCAAGAGCAAUUCUUUUAAAGAGUAUGACACUGAAUGCAGACUCUGGCAAAUGACACUUUCAGUUAGAAAGUGGGAGGGUGACAAAACUCUUCCAGAACCUCUUACAGAGAAUAUGUCUUGACCACAAAGUGACAAAAGAGAAAAUAGUGCUUAAACCUCUGCAACAGAGCACUGAGACAGAAAAAUCUCUACUGAAAAUGCCUUUUUGUGCAAGAAUUGAUCUCACUGUCAUUUUAGUAAUGUAAAUCACAAGGAGCCGUUGAAAUCAGGGGGAACUCAGCAGUAUAAAUUAGGUGUCAUAUGAAUAACAAAGUUGUAAGAUAUUGUUAUUGGGUCACUUAGCUCUGCUCCAUGGUUUUAUUUUAGCUCUAACAUUUAUCAGCUUUGCUUGUCCAAGCUAACGUUUUCUGCAGUUUGGCAACAAUGGUUAUUCUGGAUUGAGUAUUCACAGAGCAAGUAACAGAGAAUUUGUCAUAAUGGGUCCGCCUCCUCUUCUACAGCUCCUCUCAUGCUUUAUGUCUCUAUUUUAUAUACCCAUAAAACAUCUAACUGACUAUGGAAUGACAGUAAGAAAAAGGAAGAAGUGUUCCCUUUUCAUCAUAUUUCUCUGACACAAGAGAUUUGAUCAUCUGUAUUAUCACAGCCAUAAAUAGCAUUAGCAAACGUAUUACCCAGCCCUAUUACGUACAGACACAUUAUCUGCCAUGGAAAAAUCCAUGGGCUAAUUAUUAUUCUCAGCAUAAAAUAUUUUCUGUUAUUUGUUCUAAACGCAUUGGUCCUUAAUGUCAUGAUGCAUUAAUUGCACUAAGCUGUGAAAUGCAGAAAAUACCCCCAUCACUGUGUUCUGUUCCCACUACUUCCCACUCUUCCCAAACAAAACCACUCUUGGAUGAGAACCUACAUGGUAUGAAGUGGUAAAUGAUUCAAAGGGGUGUCACUUUAUACUUUCUGAAUCUUUAUAGUCUUUGAGGUGGUUUGUAUGUAAAUCUUACUGUACAUCUCACUAGCUCUGUCACCUUUUUAUGAGCGCUCACAGACAGUCUAUAUAUCAGUUGUCUUGACCAAAAUUUGGAAUAACUCUUUCAGAACAUAGGAACAUGGCUCCUGAAAAUGAUCACUGUCAUAUCAUCAUGAUGUCAUGAAAGGAGAACCAAAAUAAAUGAGAACUUCCAGACUUCUAGUUAUUAUACUGAUCUCACUAGAAGCUCAGCUUAUUUUCUGUGUUAAUUUUGGGGGAGAUGUUUUAUUUGAGGUUUUUUGUCUGUCUCUUUGUUUGUUAAAGACUUCACAGUGUUAUUUUCUUGGGGUUUUGUUCCUCUGGAAAUAAUUUUGUCUGGUAAUAAUUUAUUAUCUCUGAAAAUGCAUCUCUGAUUUCUAUUGCAAUGCUGCAAAUUGAUGAAAUUAACAUUAAUACUGAUGAAAUUUAUAAUGUUUUAUGUGAUUAUUGCUUCACUAAUCACUAUGUAUUCCACUGCUAGCUGUAUGCGAGAUCAUUAAUACACUAUAUGUAUAAACAUUAAGCUUAAUGGAGUUAAAUGAUGAUAUGGAAAGGCAGGAUGGCUAAUUAAUGAUCACACAAACAAUUAGUGCUCUUUCUUGAUAAUUCACAAGCUGUUCUAUGAGGAACUGCAGCCUUGCAGAGUAAAAUGCAGUGCAUCUCCUAAUUACAAAUAAGCUAGGGAGUUGUGAAAGCACAGACUACCUUUUAACCUCCAGUUACUAUAGACUGUUUUCAAGCUUCUCAGCAAGGUUUUUCCUGGCGAAAAGGUAAAUUAAAGGAAAACCUUUUCUACUAUCUUUAUUGGCCACCUUUAAGUGAAUAUUUGACUGAUAGGACCUAGUCAAGCUUUACAUUUAAGAGACACUUAAUGAAAAAGUACAUCAGUCUUAAAUGGUCCUUAAUUGGUUCGUGUGAUAUGUCUGUGUUGGUACUUAGUGCAGGAUUGAAUUUCACACUAAAGGCUUAUUUCUACUAACCCUUAACUCAUGCUGAGUAUCCCUCUCUCCCUUGUGCAUAGUCUCAUUGAUUUCGCCCAGAGUAAUUGUCUUUCUCUGUUCUACAAUUCAAAAUGUUUUUCUCUGUAGUUUUUAUAAAAGAAAAAAAAAUUUUUUUCUAGAUCAUUUAAGGCCUUGGAUAGAGUAAAUUAAUUCUAACUUAAUUCUACUAUAUAACAAGCUAUAAAAAGCGUCUGUAUGAACUAAAAACAUUUCAUCCACUCUUUCCAUCUUACAUUUAGACUUUAAAAUAGCACUUUGUGUCCUCUCAAAUGCAACUGCUAAUAUUUCCCAGAAAUGUGAAAUUGGCACGUAACUCCAUAAGUCCUUUACCUCUUAUCAGUGUCUGUGGGUCAAAUAUCACUGUCUGUGGAUCAAGUAUCAACUCAUUUGAUUUGCCCUGCAGUUCUCUUAUGACACAAAAUUAAUAUUUUUUUGAUUUUUGAUUUUUUUAAGGAUGGAU